This 1577-nucleotide long non-coding RNA is filed under the name Zostera marina. RNAcentral's name for it is "long non-coding RNA (ZMAR_LNC004116)". Lineage: Eukaryota; Viridiplantae; Streptophyta; Magnoliopsida; Alismatales; Zosteraceae. The record is from RNAcentral.
UCCUCAGCAAAAUCCUUCUGUUUGAUCCAAAGUCAACAACCAACCGAUGAGUACGUAUUAUAAAUUAUAAUCCCAAUAAAAAAUAUAUAUAUAUUAUUGGUAUCUUACAUCUAUAGUGUGGUUUCCGACGAGACGGUCGAUGAUAUUACAUAGAAUGUCCUUGGAGUACUCAGGGUGACCUUGAAUACCCAAAACCCGAUCUUGAAUGGCGAACACCUCCACUCCCGUCUUCUCGGAAUAAGCUACAACUUCCCCUUCCUCCGGUACCUCCCAAACCUCGUCUUGGUGGAUCUCGAGGAUCGGGUGAUGUGUGCACAACAUCGACACUUUCGAUUCGCCUUUUAAACCGCAUGGAACUUCGUCAACCACCGUCACUUCUCUCACUCCGAUGUCCCAUCCCGUUUCUGCUUUGCCCACUUUCCCUCCCAAAGCGUGGCAUAAAACCUGAUUAAAAAAAAUAUAUUGUGAGAUAUUUAAAUCUCGUCCGUCAACAUUUUAGUCGAACCCACCUGAUGGCCAAAGCAUAUGCCUAGAAGUUUCUUCCGCAUGGAAUCAAGUUUCUGCAGUAAUUCGCAGAGCUCCAUCACCCAAGGCUCGUCUCCAUAGGCGUCGUUUGGACUUCCACUGAUUACGAACGCGUCGUACAUGCAGAUAUCGGCGGAGCAUGGGAACUCUCCGUCGAUCACACGAAACAAGUCCCAUCUCUCUCCUUGGUCUCCAUAUGCGUCGACGAAGACGUUGUAGUAUCCACCGUAGGUUGUCUUCACGUAGUCGGAAUCCCUUGCUGCCAUGAGAAGGGCGAAUCUCUUUUCUUGCUUUGUCGUCACCAUGUUUGUUAGGUAGCCUGAGCUUCUCAUGGAUGGAUGGCCGGGUUUUAUAAGGUUGGAUAGCAAGCAGAAUGGGGCCGCUAGUGUUUUUUUGCGUCAUGUGACCAAUGACGAUGUAGAUCAGUAGCGAUUGGCUUGAUAGGAUUCAAAUGAAUAAAAUAUACAUAAUUUUUAGUUAUUUCUCUAGAUAAUCUAUUCUUCCCGUGUAUUUUGUUCCGGUCGAGAUAUACCGACCCAACAAAAACCUAACCAAGGCCAGCUAGCACAUAAUCAAAUCUACUUUGACCAAAUAAUGGUGUUUUUUUUACUGAUUGUGUGUGGACUCGCGUUAGGAGUUUAUACACAUAACUCUCUAGUAUUACUCCUUCAUGCAUGUUUAGCUAGGAGAGGUAUUUAUUAAAAGAAUUAAAAGAGAAUCGGUAAUUAAAAGGUCAAGGGAGGGUUUAAGGGUUUUAAACAGAUCUGCAAUUGAUCUGUAAAUAAUCUGUUUUAACUCUCACAGGACUUAAUUGUAAUAAAUAACACUUAUAAAACUAUUUGCUAAUUUGUUAUCAAGUUUUACUUGUGCAGAUAAAAUGACCAAGACUCAGAGAAAGGAUUCAAUGAAGUCGAGGGUCAUGACUGCAAAAGUUUCAAUAUAUUCAAGUGGGCUAAUUAGACGAGUGGGCCGAGUCUGGAAUAUAAUUGGUCCAUUAAGACAAUAGAAUUGUAAUUAAAUCUGUUGUAAAAUUAGCUAUAAGUAAAAGUGAU